GGGAGGCGGCGCUCAAGGAAGAUAGGGAUGGAAAGACAAGGGGUAUUCUUGUGUACUUCUAGUCUUUUGAGUUUGCGUUCUAUUUGCAUCUCAUGUUGACUAUUUUGACUAUCACAAAUACAUUGUCGACGGCAUUUCAAUGGAAAGAUCACGAUAUUGUGAAUGUUGUUAAUUGUUCAAGAUCUACUAGAAACCGUUUAGAUCGAGUUAGACGAGAUGAGUUGGAGACAGUACUCGGUGAAGUGAAUGAGUUUUGUGAUAAACAUCGAUCCAACUAAGCCAAGGAAAAAACAGGAAAAGUGGAGAAAGAAAAAAUAUUGAAAGUUACAAAUGAUGUUGUAGUGGACCGCUUCAGGAAAAGUGGAAAUAGAAAAUACUAAGGGUAAUUUGUUCAUGAAUCAAUUAUUUCUUAUAAUAUUGGAUCAUCUAAUUAACACUUUUUUAGUCAUUAUCUCAUCAAGAACUCAUCUUAAUGGUGUAUUUUGCCAAUUGAUAUACAGACCAUAUAAUAUUUUGUUGGUGUUU
This 525-nucleotide long non-coding RNA is filed under the name Setaria viridis. RNAcentral's name for it is "long non-coding RNA (SVIR_LNC001942)". Lineage: Eukaryota; Viridiplantae; Streptophyta; Magnoliopsida; Poales; Poaceae. The record is from RNAcentral.